RNAcentral lists this non-coding RNA (187 nucleotides) under Lysobacterales bacterium. Its description in RNAcentral is "6S RNA". It matches the Rfam family "6S / SsrS RNA". Rfam says of the family: E. coli 6S RNA was the first non coding RNA to be sequenced, but its function was unknown until recently. RNAcentral also lists the same sequence under 1 other name. The record is from RNAcentral. Lineage: Bacteria; Pseudomonadati; Pseudomonadota; Gammaproteobacteria; Lysobacterales.
CGUCCUCUGCGUUGUUCGAUAGCGCGUCCGCAAAAUACCUUGACCCUGUUGUUCGACCUUGGGAAGAGCUCUCCACCGCGCAUGAGCUUGUCCGCCUCGCAGCGGACCGCCUUUAGCGGUGUUCUUCUUCCCCCCUGAUCCUACGGAUCAAGGUCGUGAGACCCGCAACGGCAUCGGCGGAGGACCC